UAAUAAGUGUUUUAUGGCACUUUUUAAAUCCAUAUCCACCUUGUAGUGCAAUGUCAGGUCGAUUCUUCUUUUUCGUCAGAGGAUCGACCAAACAUCAACUUAUUCUAUUGAACUUUUGUCUGAAAACUAUUAUGAAUAAACUAAUUCAAAAUA
Molecule: unclassified non-coding RNA, 153 nt
Filed under: soil metagenome
Description: partial internal transcribed spacer 1
Source: RNAcentral